GUGAAGCCUCAUUAACCUGCAGCAGCCAAUCAGACGCUGAGAGGAGAGUGAGGGUCUGUGGGGAAUCUGGUGGGAGUGUGCCUCCUCGUUCAACACCAUAUGACUCAGCUGCUUUCUACAGAAGAAGACGCCACACACAGAGGACGUGGGUGAAUGUUUUAAUCACAGAAACAGGAAGUGGCCGAGCGCGGCGGCUCCUCACUUCCUCAGAUUAACAGAAGAAAUCUUCUGCUCCUGCUGAGUAAUUGGGAUCAUGAUGACAUUUUAUAAAACCAUCAGCACUUGGACAAAACCAAUAAAGCAGAGUGAACACAGCGUCUCCGGCCUCCAAUCCGCCGCCACUGGUCUAUUUUUGGAGGGAAAAAAAGGAAAAGAAAUGAUGAUUAAUGUUAUUGGAUUAUUUACAUUGCCCUCAACAUGAUUGAGCUGCAGAAAUGAAAUUAAAAUGUGUGUUGAAUGGGAUUUUCCAGGAAAGUCCUGUAAAAACCACGACGGUAAUAAGGAAUGACUAAUUCUCCCAAAGUCGAUUAAACACCAUCUCAUCCAGCGGGAAAAUACAGCAGAGCGGAGAACAAAUAAGAUCGGGAUUAGACAACUGUGGCUACAUUAAGAGGCAGAUUAAAGCCUUUUAUCUAUUAUUUUCAUUAUUCUUCAGCGUGUUCUUGUUCUGGAGGAUUAACUCUGAUGGUUAGUCCAGAAAACAAGCCAUUAACCACGGAAGGAUCAGAUCUGAGCAAAUAAACCUGCAGAGACACUGAAGCAGCAUUUCCUCUCCAAAGCUGAAAUCACAUCACGCUUGACUUUCAGUCACAUCUUCAGUCUGAGACUCAUCAAGAGAAAUAAAGAGAAAUGA
Molecule: long non-coding RNA, 853 nt
Organism: Seriola dumerili (greater amberjack)
Lineage: Eukaryota; Metazoa; Chordata; Actinopteri; Carangiformes; Carangidae
Exons: 3
Source: RefSeq, a predicted model, not a curated record